GAUCCCAUCCAGGAUACCGCAGGACAUUUAGUUCUCUUCUUGGCCGUGAUAAUGAUUUUGAUGUGACCUUGACCGUUUCAAGGCGUACAGGUGAAGUGUUACGUAGCACGUUCCUCAGUUGAGAUUUGUCGGAUGUUUUUCUCAUGCUUAUUCUGGCGUGCUGGAUUUGGGGACCAGACCACAGAGGAUUGGAAGGACUGUCAGAAGCAUCGUCUCACCUCUGUGCUGGACCCCAAGCAGAGGGAGCACCUGGGUUCAGAAUAGCUCUCGAUUUCACAGGGAACAACUUCAUUUGUUCGGAUCGUGCCUCAAAAUCUCCACCACAACCUGCACCCCGACCCCUGCUUUAGCCUUCCCCAAACAAAACCUGUCACCCCGGGCAAACAGAGCCUUGGGAGGGAAUGAAAGCACUGUGCUUCUGCCUGGGAGUUUAUUCCCUCUGGAGACCCUGCUCUAGCAUCAGCUCCGGCAAGCCUGGUCAUGGCCCCAGGUCUUCCCUGGCUGUUCUCAAAUUACUACUCUCUUUUGCAUUUCAGGGAUUUUUUUCCAAGGUGAUGAUCAAGCUGUAGUCCAUUAGCUUUUUCCACCAGGAGGGAGCUGGUCUUGAAACCCACCCCUUGUCCACCUUUGCCAUUAAAGCCCAGGCAUGACAUCCUGCCCACGGGGCACUGCCGGGGCUUCUGUGACUGUCUGAUACUGCGGGAAAAGUGAGGCAGCAGUUUGCUUUGAAGCCUUGCCCAACACUUUCUCAGGGCAAAACAAGAGAUGAAACAAGAGCCCUAUUUUCUUUUUCCGUUUUUGCUUUUCAGGGCUGCACUCGCGGCAUAUGGAGGGUCCCAGGCUAGGGGUCAAAUCAGAGUUCCAGCUGCCAGCCUACACCACAGCCACAGCCACAACAAUGUGAGAUCUGAGCUGUGUCUGCGACCUACACCACAGUUCACAGCAACGCCAGAUCCUUAAGCUGCUGAGCGAGGCCAGGGAUCGACCCUACAUCCUCAUGGAUCCUAGUUGGGUUUGUUAACUGCUGAGCCACGGAGGGAACUCUGGAAGUGCCUGUUUUCUUGAUCUACAGAUUUAAAAUCUAAAGCAACUGUUUGCAUAGGAACUUUAGGCAUCCCUGAAAGAAAAGAGGCCCAAGACCACCGUACCUUUCUGGAUAAAUCAGAUUUCUGUUAUGUAAGCAGUGACUGUGACCAGUAGCUGUUCAGCACAGUUUCUCAGUUGUGUUCAUCCUGGAAAUUACAGCAAUGACUCACAGUUUUUGGAGUGGUGACACCCUGCCCCUAUGUUUUAAUCUCCUUUCCUUUCUAAUGACACAAUGUGGAUUUGGGGUGAGUGCGGAGGUACAAAGUAUUAAUGUUUCGAUCAAUUGUAAAUUAAAAAAAUCGAAACCUUGGAACUCGUGUUAAUUCCCCCCAAAUGUCAUCAGUUAUUCUCCUUCAUCGAAACUGUUCACAUGUCUCAGUACUAUACAAUGAAUGUCAUUUUCAAAACUUUAUUGUAUAUCACUCCUUUUAUGAGUGACGCGUUUGAUUGAUUCAAAAAAGUUUGCUAGCACUUUUUGGGCAGGCAUUAGGGAUAACACUAAGUGGUCAAGUUCAAACCCUCUGCUGUGGGAAUGUAGGAAAAACGAGCCAGGUACUUCAUUCGGUGGAUCUUGGAGGACUUCUUGGAGGAGGUGGGGUUUGAGCUUCGGCUAAAGGAUGAGUAAGACAUUUACAAGGGUUUCAUGAGGAGAGCGGUCAUCUGGGUGGAGCUUUGGAGAACCAGAUUCUUGGGUUCAGCCUCAGAAUCUCAGGGGUGAGGCCCUGGUAUGUGUGGUUCUGAUGUGUAACCAGGGCUGGCACGUCAAGUUUGUUCAGAGACCAGAGAACGGCCUGAAAGACAGUCUCUAGGGCUUGGAGAGUCUAAGCCAGUAGUUCCCCACCUCAGCAGAAGGGCAAAUAAAAGGAAUGAGAUGAAGCAUCUUUAAAGGUUUCCUUUACAGACAAGGUCCCUGGAUGUGAAGUUUGUUAAAGAUACUAAGAUUUUUGCCCCAUGUCACAACGAAAGGAUUCUCUGGAAUAAGAAAAAACAUGUGGUUAAAACCAAACCAAAAAACAGCACAGAAUCUCAUUGGUCUCAGAUGGCCUGUGCCAGGGGGUGACAAACUUUUUCUGUGAGGGUCGGAAAGUAAAUAUUUUCAGCUUUAUAAACCAUGACAGUCUCUGUUACAACUAUUCAACUCUGCCACUGUAGCACAAAAGCAGCGUGAGCUAACGCUAGGUGAAUAAGCAUGGCUCUGUUCCAACAAAGCUUCAUUUAUGAACACUGAUAUUUGAAUUUCAUACAAUUUUGACGUUUCAAAAUAUUAUUAUUCCUUUGAUUUAUUUUCAACCACUUAAAAACAUAAAUUCUUAUUAUUUACUACAGCCGGGAGGUAGAGGCAACCCAAAUAUC
RNAcentral lists this long non-coding RNA (2439 nucleotides) under Sus scrofa (pig). RNAcentral describes it as "lncRNA (ENSSSCG00045000248.1)". The record is from RNAcentral. Lineage: Eukaryota; Metazoa; Chordata; Mammalia; Artiodactyla; Suidae.